This 169-nucleotide unclassified non-coding RNA is filed under the name uncultured Helotiales. RNAcentral describes it as "sequence contains ITS1". Lineage: Eukaryota; Fungi; Ascomycota; Leotiomycetes; Helotiales. The record is from RNAcentral.
CCGAGUUCAUGCCCUCACGGGUAGAUCUCCCACCCUAUGUUAUUAUUACCUCUGUUGCUUUGGCGGGCCGUCAGGCUUCGGUCAGGCUACCGGCUCCGGCUGGUAUGCGCCCGCCAGAGGACCCCAAACUCUGAUAAUCAUGUCGUCUGAGUACUAUGAUAAAUAGUUA